RNAcentral lists this ribosomal RNA (253 nucleotides) under uncultured bacterium. Its description in RNAcentral is "partial 16S ribosomal RNA". It matches the Rfam family "Bacterial small subunit ribosomal RNA", at positions 524 to 776 of the family's 1533-position model. The record is from RNAcentral.
UACAGAGGUGGCUAGCGUUGUUCGGAAUUACUGGGCGUAAAGGGCGCGUAGGCGGCUUGGUCAGUCCCGUGUGAAAUCCCUCGGCUCAACUGAGGAACUGCACGGGAAACUGCCUGGCUUGAGUUCGGGAGAGGGAAGCGGAAUUCCGGGUGUAGCGGUGAAAUGCGUAGAUAUCCGGAGGAACACCGGUGGCGAAGGCGGCUUACUGGACCGACACUGACGCUGAGGCGCGAAAGCUAGGGGAGCAAACGGG